AUUGAACGCUGGCGGCAGGCUUAACACAUGCAAGUCGAGCGGAGAUGAGGUGCUUGCACCUUAUCUUAGCGGCGGACGGGUGAGUAAUGCUUAGGAAUCUGCCUAUUAGUGGGGGACAACAUUCCGAAAGGAAUGCUAAUACCGCAUACGUCCUACGGGAGAAAGCAGGGGAUCUUCGGACCUUGCGCUAAUAGAUGAGCCUAAGUCGGAUUAGCUAGUUGGUGGGGUAAAGGCCUACCAAGGCGACGAUCUGUAGCGGGUCUGAGAGGAUGAUCCGCCACGCUGGGACUGAGAGACGGCCCAGACUCCUACGGGAGGCAGCAGUGGGGAAUAUUGGACAAUGGGGGGAACCCUGAUCCAGCCAUGCCGCGUGUGUGAAGAAGGCCUUAUGGUUGUAAAGCACUUUAAGCGAGGAGGAGGCUACUGAGACUAAUACUCUUGGAUAGUGGACGUUACUCGCAGAAUAAGCACCGGCUAACUCUGUGCCAGCCGCCGCGGUAA
This 501-nucleotide ribosomal RNA is filed under the name uncultured bacterium. RNAcentral's name for it is "partial 16S ribosomal RNA". It matches the Rfam family "Bacterial small subunit ribosomal RNA", at positions 30 to 523 of the family's 1533-position model. The record is from RNAcentral.